Molecule: non-coding RNA, 292 nt
Organism: Pelobates cultripes (western spadefoot toad)
Lineage: Eukaryota; Metazoa; Chordata; Amphibia; Anura; Pelobatidae
Source: the annotation of a GenBank genome assembly
CAGUGUAAGGAUCCACAGAGGGUCUAAGUAUGGGAGGAGUGACAGGUGAGAAAGAUCAGCCUGGUAGCAGCAUUCAUUACAUAUUGUAGUGGGGAACUUCGAUUUUUGGGGAGACCAAUUAGGAGAGAAUUACAGUAAUCCAUGCAAGAGAUUACCAGACCAUGAAUAAACUCCUUAUCAGCAUCUCGCAUAAGAAAGGGGCGGAUGCGGGCAAUAUUUUUAAGGUGGAAUCGACCUUUGGAAUCGAGGUUUUAGCAAUAUGCUCGAUAUGAGGCACAAAGGUGAGGUCAGG